RNAcentral lists this long non-coding RNA (357 nucleotides) under Homo sapiens (human). RNAcentral describes it as "HSALNT0285212". The record is from RNAcentral. Lineage: Eukaryota; Metazoa; Chordata; Mammalia; Primates; Hominidae.
GGAGAAAUAGGAACACUUUUACACUGUUGGUGGGACUGUAAACUAGUUCAACCAUUGUGGAAGUCAGUGUGGUGAUUCCUUAGGGAUCUAGAACUACAAAUACCAUUUGACCCAGCCAUCCCAUUACUGGGUAUAUACCCAAAGGACUCUAAAUCAUGCUGCUAUAAAGACACAUGCACACGUAUGUUUAUUGCUUCAUUAUUCACAAUAGCAAAGACUUGGAACCAACCCAGAUGUCCAACAAUGAUAGACUGGAUUAAGAAAAUGUGGCACAUAUACACCCUGGAAUACUAUGCAGCCAUAAAAUGGAUGAGUUCAUGUCCUUUGUAGGGACAUGGAUGAAAUUGGAAAUCAUCA